Molecule: non-coding RNA, 675 nt
Organism: Megalobrama amblycephala (Wuchang bream)
Lineage: Eukaryota; Metazoa; Chordata; Actinopteri; Cypriniformes; Xenocyprididae
Source: the annotation of a RefSeq genome assembly
GAGUACUUUUAAAGAUGUAAGCUGCAACAUGGAGAUGCCACAUCACUUCCUCACAACUUCAUUUAGCAGCUAGAUUUAAUCAUUUUGAAGGAGGGACUAAUGUUUCCCAGCAUUAUAUGUUCAAUCCACUAGAUGUCCUCACAUGCAGCUAUAGCUGCUGAGUUUCUUUACAACACUCAUAAAAACAAAAUGUUUGGUUUGCUGCUUUUGCUCUUGCUUCUUCCAUUAGAUUUGGGAUUAAAACAGUCACCUGAUUUCUUUGUAACUGAGGAUCUCAAUGUGACUAUAUCAUGUUCCCAGAUUGGAACAUCACACAACAGCAUGUACUGGUUCAGACAAACAUCUGCUGAGCCGCUGGAGCAGAUAGUGUAUUCCUAUGUUAAAUCACUCACCUGGGAAAAGAAUUUUGAAAAGAGAGCAUCUGCUGCAAGGAAUGGGGCAUCUUUAGACCUGACUCUUUUCAAAGUACAGAGCUCUGACAGUGGCGUUUACUUCUGUGCAAAGCAGGAUGCACAGCAGUAUAGCCCAAUCUAUAAGUUCAACAAAAACAUGCAGUCCUUCCCCUGCAGAUAAACAUCUAACACCUGCUCGCCUGCUGGCUGUGGGUGAAUUUCUACAUGCAGGGAUGAGUAGAUAAAGUAUUUGCAUUUGUUUUGUAUUAUUAUUUUAGUUUAC